This is a long non-coding RNA of Aquila chrysaetos chrysaetos, 1875 nucleotides long. RefSeq lists it as uncharacterized. The record is from RefSeq and is a predicted model, not a curated record. Lineage: Eukaryota; Metazoa; Chordata; Aves; Accipitriformes; Accipitridae. The transcript has 2 exons.
UUGCAUUAUUUAGCUAUUAUUGUUGAUAUUUUACAGAUAAGACACUGGCAAGAGAAAUUAAGGUAAAACCUGCUAAAAGCGUCCAUUACAUUUGACACGUCAGGUUAUCAGAAUAUUUUUACACUGUUUCAAUCAGUUUCACUUUGGUGUUCAGCAACCACACAAACUUGGCCGCAAGUGCCCUCAUACCGAUUGCCUGGAAAUGGAAUAAAGGGAAAACAAACCUGCAAAAGCCCUCAGCUACUUCUGUGGAAGGACUCGGCCUUAGUCCCAGCUGUGCCAACCGGAUUUUUUUUCCCAGAUGAUGAAGUGGGGAGAGGGGAUGGAGACAGUGAUUGAGUCAAGUGACCAAACUCGGAACAGUAACGCAGGGCAGCGUUGCUGGCUGGAGAAAACUCAGCUUCUCACGGGGUAAGGUCUGACAUGGUUGACUUGUUAGCUAAAGGAAAGUGUUGAAUGGAAUUACCUGUACCAAUGGAUAGAAAGAAAAACUUCAGACUGAAUGAGGAGCCUGGAAAGAAGAAGGAUCGGUGAUUUUAGCUCUGAGUUGAAUGUUUGCCUUUAUGUUAAACCAAAUGCCUAAGGAAUACAUAAUUCAAAAGUCCCAAGCGGCUGGCCUAUUUUCCUGAAGAAGAGGAGAGGAUGUAGCAGCAGGUCUGAUUCCAGAUGAGAUAAGAUUUUGUUAUAACAAAAGUAAUGGUUAAUGGGCAGGUUCUGGUUUAAGUGAGUUAUUCAGUAUCACAAAAAAGCUGCUGGCAGACAGGGAAAAAAGACAAUUAUCCACAAUGGUAUUAAAUUUUCUUAAGAGGAAAUCUUACGGUUCUUAUUCUGUAGCUUCCUGGCUUGUUCAUUAUGCAGUCCUUACUCAUAGUGACAAUCCUGUGCACUGAAUGAAAUACAGCAACAAGCACCAUUUGACUGAAAAGACAGCCCUAUAAUAGCUUUUUGCUGAAAUGUGAUGCUAAAAUUAAUUCUGAAAUUUUCCAGUUUGUGAGUAUUCACAAAUACUAAUUUGACCUAGUAUAAAUACUGUUUGACUCCAUAGGUCCAACAUUCCUUUACUUUACUUAAUGCCUUUUCCCCAUCUCCAGGAAAACAAAGACAUGAGGAAAGGAAAUCUAACACUUGACCACGUGUUUGGCCCUAAAUUGGAUGAUCAGCAAUGUGACGACUUCUCAACUCCAACCUCUUCCCUGGAGAGUGUCAACAAAACCAGCAGUGGGGAUAAUGACUCUGUAUCAGCAGCCCUGAAGAAUUCAACGGCACAAUUGCAAGGUUAAGUCCCAAGAAGCCUGUGGACAGAGAGUGCUCAGCUGAUAUGAGGAGAUCAUAUCUGUGCCAUUGAACACUUGGGAGCUGAGAAGAUGGAGUGUGGCUGACGAAGGCAGCGUUCAGCUGUCAAAAAAACUUGUAGUAAAAAUAAUUCCAUGUAUUUUGUUUUUCCCAUGACUGGCUUGUUCUAGCUAGAACCUUUUUUAAAGGCAAAACAGGCCAAAAACUAAACCAACACCUCCACAGCUUGAGACAGACAUUUUCUAGGAAAAUUUGCCACUCCUGCUUCAGCAGUGUUACUCAGCACCAGAAAGAGGCACUUCACACGGGGGCCCUAACUACAGGUGGUGCUCCCAUUCCUGCCUAGGGAUGCUGCAAGUGCACAGUGGCAAGGUUAUUUUAGACUCACUUUUAUCAUUUGAGAGCUGCACCUUGGUUUGUUUGGGGUUGUUCCAGUCUUCGGCCACAGCUAAUGCUUUCUUGUCUCUUCCAGAAUAUUACUGGGAUGUAAGUAGUUCAUCUUGUUAUUUCCCUCUUCCCAAAUGUAAUAUUCCUAACUGUAUAUUCAUUACAAAUAAGUGAAAUACAGGGAAUGGAUCCGAA